This 253-nucleotide ribosomal RNA is filed under the name uncultured bacterium. Its description in RNAcentral is "partial 16S ribosomal RNA". It matches the Rfam family "Bacterial small subunit ribosomal RNA", at positions 524 to 776 of the family's 1533-position model. The record is from RNAcentral.
UACAGAGAUCUCAAGCGUUGUUCGGAUUCAUUGGGCGUAAAGGGUGCGUAGGCGGCGUGGUAAGUCGGAUGUGAAAUCUCGGAGCUUAACUCCGAAACUGCAUUCGAUACUGCCGUGCUUGAGGACUGGAGAGGAGACUGGAAUUUACGGUGUAGCGGUGAAAUGCGUAGAUAUCGUAAGGAAGACCAGUGGCGAAGGCGGGUCUCUGGACAGUUCCUGACGCUGAGGCACGAAGGCCAGGGGAGCAAACGGG